GGAGACUGCGGUGCUUGCUCCGGGCGACGAGUGGCGGACGGGUGAGUAACGCGUGGGAAUCUACCCAGUAGCGGGGGACAACUCGGGGAAACUCGAGCUAAUACCGCAUACGCCCUUCGGGGGAAAGGCUUCGGCCACUAUUGGAUGAGCCCGCGUCGGAUUAGCUAGUUGGAGGGGUAACGGCCCACCAAGGCAACGAUCCGUAGCUGGUCUGAGAGGACGAUCAGCCACACUGGGACUGAGACACGGCCCAGACUCCUACGGGAGGCAGCAGUGGGGAAUAUUGCACAAUGGGGGAAACCCUGAUGCAGCAAUGCCGCGUGUGUGAAGAAGGCCUGCGGGUUGUAAAGCACUUUCGAUAGGGAAGAUUAUGACGGUACCUAUAGAAGAAGCACCGGCUAACUCCGUGCCAGCAGCCGCGGUAAUACGGAGGGUGCGAGCGUUAAUCGGAAUUACUGGGCGUAAAGCGCGCGUAGGUGGCUAUGUAAGUCGGAUGUGAAAGCCCCGGGCUUAACCUGGGAACUGCAUUCGAUACUGCAUAGCUAGAGUAUGGAAGAGGGAAGUGGAAUUCCGGGUGUAGCGGUGAAAUGCGUAGAUAUCCGGAGGAACAUCAGUGGCGAAGGCGACUUCCUGGGCCAAUACUGACACU
This 649-nucleotide ribosomal RNA is filed under the name uncultured bacterium. Its description in RNAcentral is "bacterial SSU rRNA". It matches the Rfam family "Bacterial small subunit ribosomal RNA", at positions 68 to 747 of the family's 1533-position model. The record is from RNAcentral.